Molecule: ribosomal RNA, 957 nt
Filed under: Iguazu flavofuscum
Lineage: Eukaryota; Metazoa; Arthropoda; Insecta; Trichoptera; Hydrobiosidae
Description: SSU rRNA
Rfam family: Eukaryotic small subunit ribosomal RNA
Source: RNAcentral
AGUCUCAGUAUAAACCGUAUUAAGGUGAAACCGCGAAUGGCUCAAUAUAUCAGUUUUGGUUCCUUAGAUCGUACACAGUUACUUGGAUAACUGUGGCAAUUCUAGAGCUAAUACAUGCAAACGAAGUUCUGACCGGCAACGGGAGGAAUGCUUUUAUUAGAUCAAAAACCAAUCGGCGGCGGGGCGACCCGUCCGCCGCUCUCCGAGAUGACUCUAGAUAACUUUGAGCUGAUCGCACGGUCUAGUACCGGCGACGCAUCUUUCAAAUGUCUGCCUUAUCAACUGUCGAUGGUAGUUUAUGCGACUACCAUGGUUGUCACGGGUAACGGGGAAUCAGGGUUCGAUUCCGGAGAGGGAGCCUGAGAAACGGCUACCACAUCCACGGAAGGCAGCAGGCGCGCAAAUUACCCACUCCCGGCACGGGGAGGUAGUGACGAAAAAUAACGAUACGGGACUCGUCCGAGGCCUCGUGAUCGGAAUGAUUACACUUUAAAUCCUUUAAUGAGGAUCCAUUGGAGGGCAAGUCUGGUGCCAGCAGCCGCGGUAAUUCCAGCUCCAAUAGCAUAUACUAAAGUUGUUGCGGUUAAAAAGCUCGUAGUUGAAAUUGUGUCCUGCGGUGUCGGUCUACCGACUGCGGUACGACAGGCACGUCUGCGGGGCUUCUCGCCGGUGCGUCCACCGCCGGUGCGUGUCGCGACCUUCCUAACGGUCGGCCGCGCGCGUCGAGGCGGGCCGUCGCGGCUGUUUACUUUGAACAAAUUAGAGUGCUCAAAGCGGGCUAACACUUGCCUGAAUAUUGUACGCAUGGAAUAAUAGAAUAGGACCUCGGUUCUGUUUUGUUGGCUUUCUGAUACCAGAGGUAAUGAUUAAUAGGGACAACUGGGGGCAUUCGUAUUGCGACGUUAGAGGUGAAAUUCUUGGAUCGUCGCAAGACGGACUAAAGCGAAAGCAUUGCCA